UUAGCAGUUGGAUCCAGCUGGGUUCUGGAUUACUUCAAAUCAUCCCACUGACUUAAGAGGAACUGCCCAAUAAAAAAUUCCAUCAAAACUGCCCAGAUGAUUUCAGCAUUAGUCUUUAAAUGUCUUCUUUGGAGCUAUCUUCCUUAUAGAGGGAGAAUGACACCAGUAAGUAAUUUUGUGGACCAGCAAACAUCUCCAUCUACAGGACAGAGACAGCAAAAUGUAACACAGACAAGAUUUUAUUUAGUCUUCUAAUUUGUGCUUCUUCUAUAAUUAAAACCUAUACAUUUUAUCUUCAUUAGGCCAUGAAACUGCCUUUCUGUCAUGUAUCUAGAAGCAUGACCACUUCUGAAUCUAGAAGAAUCGAGUAACAAUUUGACAGCAACAAGUACUUUCCAAUAAUCCUGGAUUAGUGUGAAGUGUGAAACUUGCACAGACUGCGAACCUUGACAGUGGGAAAGAUGCUGCCAGAAUUAAGUUUUUCUCUACCACUUUUAUUUGGUUCUUCUUGUGAAUGGAUCUCUAAAUCAUUAAACAAAUCUCCCACAAUGCUUUUUCUUAUUCUAGACACCACCUGGUUGUAUUCAGAGGAUGAUGUAGGAUUGCUUAAUAAAAGUGAAUGCUGUCUGUAUAAUUCUUCUUCAUUUAUAAUUUGGAAGGUUAUCUGGAAGCCAAGUAGGAAGAAAACAAAUUUAAGGGAGGUCUAAUGAUUUAAGUAACCACUAGUACCAUAUGGAACUGGAUUUUAGUUUUAUUUCUGCUGCAAAGUAGGUGUAAGUGAAGUGGUAUAUGGUUUAUUUGAAGUAAAUAAUGCUUAUUCUGUGUAGGUAGUAGUCUUUUUACCUUGAAAACGAGAAUAAUUGUCUGUCUCACUGAAACAGAUGAUGUAGUUCAUCCUCAAAUAUUUUGUUCUUUCACUUCCCUACACAUAUUGAGUGCAUUUUAUGAUCAAAAAAACUUGAAA
Long non-coding RNA from Empidonax traillii (willow flycatcher), 964 nucleotides. RefSeq lists it as uncharacterized. The transcript is spliced from 3 exons. NCBI's taxonomy places the organism in Eukaryota, Metazoa, Chordata, Aves, Passeriformes, Tyrannidae. The record is from RefSeq and is a predicted model, not a curated record.